Molecule: ribosomal RNA, 253 nt
Filed under: uncultured bacterium
Lineage: Bacteria
Description: partial 16S ribosomal RNA
Rfam family: Bacterial small subunit ribosomal RNA
Source: RNAcentral
UACGUAGGGGGCGAGCGUUGUCCGGAGUUACUGGGCGUAAAGCGCACGCAGGCGGUCUGCUAAGUUUGGAGUGACAGUUGGUGGCUUAACUGCCAAAGUGCUUCGAAAACUGACAGACUUGAGGGCUUCAGAGGGACACGGAAUUCCGGGUGGGGUGGUGAAAUGCGUAGAGAUCCGGAGGAACACCAAAGGCGAAGGCAGUGUCCUGGGGAGUACCUGACGCUCAGGUGCGAAAGCCAGGGGAGCGAACGGG